CUGUUAGCGUGGGUAUGCUUGAGAUAACGGGGACUUUGGGGGUAUUUCCGGUAUUAAAAACUGAUAUGUGGCGGGAGUUGACGUGGCCAAUUAUGCGCCACUUGGAGCUCAGAUACUGCAACGCUUUCGAGUAUUUGUUAUGUGUGAAAUUUCUCGACACGUUUCGGGUUGACUGUAGGUAUCCCCAUAAACGACGUCGCAG
This 202-nucleotide unclassified non-coding RNA is filed under the name Hevea brasiliensis (rubber tree). Lineage: Eukaryota; Viridiplantae; Streptophyta; Magnoliopsida; Malpighiales; Euphorbiaceae. The record is from RNAcentral.